This 403-nucleotide long non-coding RNA is filed under the name Zostera marina. Its description in RNAcentral is "long non-coding RNA (ZMAR_LNC006128)". The record is from RNAcentral. Lineage: Eukaryota; Viridiplantae; Streptophyta; Magnoliopsida; Alismatales; Zosteraceae.
GGAGAGAUUGAGGAGCUGGAUCGGAUUCUGAAUAUUUUGGAUCCUCGGUCGUCGGCCUUGGAUCUUCCUUCUUUGCGCCAACUUAUUGUUGAGCGGCAGAGUGUUGCUGUUGCUGUUAGGGAAUCUAUUUUCGAAGAAUGGUCUGGUGGCGAUCUUCCGCCUACCUCUUCUUCUGUUGUCCCUCCUCGUGGCCGACGUCGGAAGCGUCCCCGCCGCGGUGCUUCACCGCUGGAUCAGGUUCCUCGCCGCUUGCGUCGCCGUAUAAAUUUUAAUUAGGAACCUGUAAUGUUCUUCAUUCAUCAUUUUUUGUAAUUUUGAAUAAAUAUACUUUUUUACCUUUUCCUUUACUCGACUUACACCUUUACUCUGAAGUACGUCAGUGUAGUCGAUGCUUUCUUUUGGU